GCGGUGGCGGCGCUGGUGGAUACGGCAGCUCUGGUGCCGGUGCAGGAGACGGUGGUGAGCCGCAUCACGGCCAACCUGGCAGCGGCGAUGGAGAUGGGGCUGGAUACAAGGGACUCUACGGCGGCGGAGCCUGGAGCAAGCGCGGCCACUUCCGCGGCGGAAGGUCAGCGCACAAGGACGGUGGCGACAACAACUGAAGCUGCCCGUCGUUGUCUGCAACCGUAUGCUGAAUUGCUGAUAACUGGCAAUGGCAGAAAUAUGUCUGGUCCAGAAAUCACGGAAAUAUGUAGCUAUGCGCGAUGUAGUAUAGUGCCUCUAUGGUGUUAUCAACCGUGCUU
RNAcentral lists this long non-coding RNA (338 nucleotides) under Setaria italica (foxtail millet). RNAcentral describes it as "long non-coding RNA (SITA_LNC000599)". Lineage: Eukaryota; Viridiplantae; Streptophyta; Magnoliopsida; Poales; Poaceae. The record is from RNAcentral.